GCUAGAAUAAAGGGGAAAACCAUCAUGUGUAAAAAACACCGUUGUGCACAAAAACCAUUGUUGCGCACAAGAACACAAUUGUGUGCAGAGAAGCAACCAUCACGUACAAGGACCGUCAUCGUGUGCAAGAAUACCACAAACUGUAAACACCACCACAUGAAAAGAAAAAACUAUCGAGCACAAACACCACAUCCAUGUGCAUAUGAGCAAAAAGUACUGUCUCACUUGCUAUGAAACACAUGGCCACAAUGUGUAUAGGGAAAAAAACCAACAUCGCAUUUACUUUGAAAUGCAAGGCCACCCUGCAUGCAAGAAUACUAUGUCGAUUCGUUGUGCACCUGACAUCCGUUUUUUGGUUGUACCACUACUCGAAAAAAAUCCUAGUGCCAAUUAGUGGUGGUUGAAUUUCCCUCACAAUCGGUUUGUUUUCUCUUUCUCUCUCUUGGUCAGUUAGGAAG
RNAcentral lists this long non-coding RNA (458 nucleotides) under Carica papaya (papaya). RNAcentral's name for it is "long non-coding RNA (CPAP_LNC011220)". Lineage: Eukaryota; Viridiplantae; Streptophyta; Magnoliopsida; Brassicales; Caricaceae. The record is from RNAcentral.